This 95-nucleotide ribosomal RNA is filed under the name Acanthosepion pharaonis. Lineage: Eukaryota; Metazoa; Mollusca; Cephalopoda; Sepiida; Sepiidae. The record is from RNAcentral.
AUACACCGGUUCUCGUUCGAUCACCGAAGUUAAGCAUCGUAGAGCCAGGUCAGUACUUAGAUGGGGACCGCUUGGGAACACCUGGUACUGUAAGC